RNAcentral lists this ribosomal RNA (275 nucleotides) under uncultured bacterium. RNAcentral describes it as "partial 16S ribosomal RNA". It matches the Rfam family "Bacterial small subunit ribosomal RNA", at positions 399 to 691 of the family's 1533-position model. The record is from RNAcentral.
GCGUGAGUGAUGACGGCCUUAGGGUUGUAAAGCUCUUUUACCUGGGAAGAUAAUGACGGUACCAGGAGAAUAAGCCCCGGCUAACUUCGUGCCAGCAGCCGCGGUAAUACGAAGGGGGCUAGCGUUGUUCGGAUUUACUGGGCGUAAAGGGCGCGUAGGCGGAUUUGUAAGUCAGGGGUGAAAUCCCAAGGCUCAACCUUGGAACUGCCUUUGAUACUGCGGAUCUUGAGUUCGAGAGAGGUAAGUGGAACUGCGAGUGUAGAGGUGAAAUUCGU